Molecule: ribosomal RNA, 1641 nt
Filed under: Triticum aestivum (bread wheat)
Lineage: Eukaryota; Viridiplantae; Streptophyta; Magnoliopsida; Poales; Poaceae
Description: partial small subunit ribosomal RNA
Source: RNAcentral
AUGAAUGGACUCGAGCACCCGCGCAAUGGCCGGACCGCCUACCACUUCCAGCCGGCCAAGUUCUGGCAGAAUGAUCCCAACGGGCCACUGUACCACAACGGCAUGUACCACUUCUUCUACCAGUACAACCCGCACGGCGCCACCUGGGGCGACGGCACGCUCUCAUGGGGCCACUCAGUCUCCGGCGACCUCGUGAACUGGGCCGACGUCGGCAAUGCGCUCGACCCCACCUCCCCGUUCGACGCCAACGGCUGCUGGUCGGGCUCCGCCACCGUGCUCCCCGGCGGCCGCCCGGCCAUCCUCUACACCGGCAUCGACGCCAACAGGGUGCAGGUGCAGAACGUGGCCUUCGCCAAGAACCCCGCCGACCCGCUCCUCCGCGAGUGGGAGAAGCCCGACUGCAACCCGGUCAUGCCGAUGCCGGCUGACGUCACCGGCAACAACUUCCGCGACCCCACGGAGGCGUGGCGCGGCCGCGACGGCCUGUGGAGGGUCGGCGUCGUCGCGGAGGUCGGCGGCGUGGGGUCCCUGCUCGUGUACCGGAGCGCGGACUUCCUCCGCUGGGAGCGCAACACCGCGCCUCUGCACGCCAGCUCGCGGGACGUGCCUGUGCUGGAGUGUCCGGACCUGUUCCCCAUGGCGCCGCCCGGCGCGGCGGAAGGGCUCGACGUGUCCGCGAGCGGCGCCGGGGUGUUGCACGUGCUGAAGCUCACGGACUUCGCCAAGGAGGACCACUACAUGGUCGGGCGGUACGACGACGAGGCGGACACCUUCGUGCCAGCGGAGCCCGAGCGCGGCGACGACCCCGGCAACUGGCGCCGGCUGGACCACGGCCACCUGUACGCGUCCAAGUCCUUCUACGACGCCCGCAACAAGCGGCGCGUGCUGUGGGCGUGGGUGGACGAGAACGACGGCGGCGGCGUGGCCAGGGGCUGGGCGGGCAUCCAGGCGUUCCCGAGGGCGAUCUGGCUGGACGCCGACGGGAAGCGGCUGGUGCAGUGGCCAAUCGAGGAGAUCGAGACACUGAGGAGGAAGCGGGUCGGCCUGCAGUGGGCGACGGAGGUGGAGGCCGGCGGCAGGAAGGAGGUCGCCGGCAUCGUGAGCUCGCAGGCGGACGUGCAGGCUGUCUUCGAGAUCCCGAACCUGGAGGAGGCCGAGACGCUGGACCCGAAGUGGCUGCAGGAUCCCAAGGGGCUGUCCGCCGAGAUGGGCGCGUCCGCGCACGGCGGAGUCGGGCCGUUCGGGCUGCUGGUCUUGGCUUCCGGCGACCUGGAAGAGUACACGGCGGUCUUCUUCAGGGUGUUCAAGCACGAUGGCAAGUACAAGGUCCUCAUGUGCACCGAUCUGACAAGAUCAUCGAGGAAGGAGGGGAUAAACAAGCCAUCCUACGGGGCAUUUCUGGACGUGGACGUGGAGAAGGAGAGGAGCAUCUCGCUCAGAACACUGAUCGAUCACACGGUGGUGGAGAGCUUCGCCGACGGCGGGAGGACGUGCAUGACGGCCCGGGUGUACCCGGAGCAUGCGGAGGCGGAGGGCAGCCGGCUGUACGCGUUCAACUACGGCGCCGGGGCCGUGAAGGUGUCCAAGCUGGAGGCGUGGGAGCUGGCCACGGCCGCCGUGAACGGCGGAGGCCAUAUGUAG